AGAUGCAGGUUACCCGCGACAGGACGGAAAGACCCCGUGGAGCUUUACUGUAGCCUGAUAUUGAAAUUCGGCACAGCUUGUACAGGAUAGGUAGGAGCCUUUGAAACGUGAGCGCUAGCUUACGUGGAGGCGCUGGUGGGAUACUACCCUAGCUGUGUUGGCUUUCUAACCCGCACCACUUAUCGUGGUGGGAGACAGUGUCAGGCGGGCAGUUUGACUGGGGCGGUCGCCUCCUAAAAGGUAACGGAGGCGCUCAAAGGUUCCCUCAGAAUGGUUGGAAAUCAUUCAUAGAGUGUAAAGGCAUAAGGGAGCUUGACUGCGAGACCUACAAGUCGAGCAGGGUCGAAAGACGGACUUAGUGAUCCGGUGGUUCCGCAUGGA
Molecule: ribosomal RNA, 381 nt
Filed under: Staphylococcus aureus
Lineage: Bacteria; Bacillati; Bacillota; Bacilli; Caryophanales; Staphylococcaceae
Description: partial 23S ribosomal RNA
Rfam family: Bacterial large subunit ribosomal RNA
Source: RNAcentral